GUAACUUACCACAAAGUUUAUUUAUCUAUUCUAUAUAGUCCCACUUCUAAUUAUGCAAUGUCCUCACAAAAAUUAUUUAGCCUCAACUUAUAAAGACGUAGCAGUGUUGGUUUCUUCAAUCAACGGUGUUGGCUUACCACUCUUUGAAUUGGUGACAUUCUCCUCUUUACAUCUUCUGCCAUUCUUCUGUCAGUUUUAAAAGUAUCUCUAAAGGUAUUAUCGUUGAAACUGGCAUAUUGGUUCGUACUAAAUUAUUGGCCUUCUUUGCUAAUGCUGCUCGUUGAGUCUGUAAUAUCGCAACCUCUACCUGCAGCCGUUCUUGCCAUUCCUUCCA
This 334-nucleotide long non-coding RNA is filed under the name Physcomitrium patens. Its description in RNAcentral is "long non-coding RNA (PPAT_LNC004655)". Lineage: Eukaryota; Viridiplantae; Streptophyta; Bryopsida; Funariales; Funariaceae. The record is from RNAcentral.